UUAUGCUGUUAUCUGUUGCUACCAUUCAUAGUGUUCAGCUUUAAGCUGCAUUAAAACAGUAGUAAUCCCACAAUGCUCAGAAAUAGCUGCUGAAGAAAUACGAUAACAGCCAGGUUUCUGUUGCUAACUAACUCGUAUUUAGCAACUAAUUGUACAUCUGCCAUGUUUGCCAGUUUUAGAGGUGUACAUAGUAGUAAUUCAAAUUGUCGAGUGCAAUGAGGUAGCUAACUGAAUGCUUGGAUUCACUUCAUGGCGUCAAUGGAGUGGGGAGAGAGGUGAGGGUGGAAGAAAAGGAGCAAGGUUGGCAAGGAAGACAUUUUGAAAUGGGUAUAUAUUCGUUGAGAACAUAAACCUCUCAGGGUAUUUAUAUGAACUGUAAUCAAAGAUAUUUUGCAUGCACUUCAAGUUAUUUCUUACACUUUCUGAGCUAAAUACUAACUGUGGAAUAUUGCCAGCAGGAAUUGCCAGGAUAAGACCUUCCCUAGCCACCAGAACGUUUGUAGAAGACAUGUUUUUAGCUGUAGUUGAACAGCAGCUGAAUCACCAAAGCUUGGCGCAUUAGAGAUGUGAACGCGAGGAAGAGUGUUGCAGUGGGUGGCUAGACAUAUGGCUUUGUUGACCAGUCUGAAACUGUACAACCUUGAAGAGGGUACAUGCAAACAGCCUCGUGUUGGAAUGCGAGUGAAGUGGUGGACAUCAUGAAUUCACUCUACCAGACUGGUAUCGAGCUAUAUGGCCCAAGGUGGGCUAUGUGCAUGUUUUGCACAGCUUGUUUAACUGGAUAUCGUAAGAUGAGAUGCGCUCGUCCACUGGCCAUAGAAAAGAUUUCCCAAGCUUGGUAUGGCUUUUUCCAUGGACUUGUUUCUCUGCACUAAAUUGCAAAACUUCUUUGUUUUCUCAUUCUUAAUAAGCUUGAACUUCAGAAAUAGUUAGGCAACAAUAGUAUCUACCUUCUGUAGUAUGAGAUAUCCGCGGUGUUGUAUGCAUAGCUAAAUGAAAAAGAUAGGCAAAGAACAGUAUGCACCUUCAGGCCUCAUUUGGCAGGCAAAUAUUGACAUGCUUUGCAGAGUAUUUUACCGCCAGGGCUCAGUUUCCCCAAAAAAUUCCCUGUAGGACCAUUUGGUGUGCUGGUAUUGAACCGAGCAAACUCCAGAAUUAAACCUGACACUAUUUCAUAUUGCGUCAUAAUGGAUGGGUUGUUUCGUUCUGGGAGAACUGUUUCUGGAAGGGAAAUGUUCCAUGAGAUGAUCGAAAGUGGAACAACAGUCAGCAUUUCCACAUACAACGUAAUACUAGGAGGUCUUUGUAGAAAUAAUUGUGCAGACGAAGCGAUUGCCCUGUUCCAGAAAUUAGGUUCAAUGAAUGUGAAGUUCAGUAUUGCAAUAGUCAAUACCAUGAUCGAUGCAAUGUACAGGGUUGGGAGAAGAGAAGAAGCUAAGGAACUUUUUGCUGGAAUAUCAGCUCGUGGGUUGGUGCCUAAUGUAUCUACUUAUGGAGUAAUGAUUAUGAAUCUUCUAAAAGAUGGAGCAGUGGAAGAUGCUAACAAUGUGUUUUCAUCAAUGGACAAGAGUGGUAUAGUCCCCAGCUCCCGUCUCAUGAAUGACAUCAUCAGAUUGUUGUUGGAAAAAGGUGAGAUCGCCAAGGCAGGAUAUUAUUUGUCUAAAGUUGAUGGGAAGAGCAUAUCAUUUGAAGCUUCAACUACUUCAUUGAAUUUGCUCCCUGCAAAGUAUCAAUUUUUCGAUUGAGUUGGUUGACAUUACUUAUGAUACUAACUCCUGAGGAAGCACAUUUGAGUUUUUUGCUUGGCUAAACCCUCCUGCCAGUAUAACUGUAUAAGAAAUCCAAACUGCCUGCUUGCAGCAUUGAGGUCAUUUUGCGGUGUGUCAAAAUCACAAGAACGUGAAAUGUCUAUGUAUCUUUUAAUCUUCAAUGGGCGAGGAAAGGUAGACCAAGUAGUCUAACACAGACAAGUUGGAACUUUAGGGGUAAGACUUCUGAUGGCGACUGGGAAGGCAUACAAUCUUUUUCUAGUAGCCACCUGACAUUUUGUAAUCUCUCUAAAACAAUCACUUUGUAUGAAUGCAUUUUUAGAAAUGUCUUGGUGCUCUGGUCCGUAUGAAAGGGUUGGUUUACUUUUAAUUUUCAUGCUCAUGCUGUCAGUUGCACUGGUGGAGCUUGUUGCACUGAGAAAAGUAUUUCCAGCUUCAUUUCUUUCUGCUUAAUUCAUCAAAGAUUCAAUAUUUUCCCUCCUGGUGUAGGUAAAGGUAUGACCAAGAAUUUGCCGGUUCCAGCUUUCGUUUGAGCCUGCAGGUCGGUUGACAGAGAAGAAAAAAUAAAAAAUAUUUGCUUAACGAAAACUUUUUGCUCUCAUGAACUUCGGUGUUCAUACCUCUCUAGAUCUGCCCCCCUCAGUUUUCCAUACUGCUCUGCAGCAGCAAGGGUUCCAAGAAUCCAAGCUGCAAAAGUUCAGGAUCAAGGGAUUAGUACCUCGAGUUCCUCCACCAUGCCCAUCCUUCUUCCACCUCCCCCUCUUCUUCAGAUCUCAGCUUCUUUUUACCUUAUGCUAUCCAAAAAAGUUGAAGGUGAACCAUUCUUAUGUCUUGCAUGAACGUCAGUUAUGUGUCAACUAAGUUUGCAAGGAAUUGGGGUGGAUUAGAAGGCUCUGAAAAAGGCUUCGUCCUUGUAUGUUACUGAAGCUUUGGUUACAAAGAAAGCUCGGUUUAGUCGCAUAGCUAAACUAAACAUCCGACCAAAUUCCUGUUUGUAUGCAGCAUGUACAAGUUUGGAUUUAGCGAUUAUGUAGUAGAAGUAUAUGCAUCAUUCAUUUAUCAAUCAUUUAGUUCUGCCCAUGGUUAUGCAAGAAACGUUUUUAUGCUUUUAUUUGUCGUUACUGCCUGUAGUGUUCAAGCUCCAUUAAAAUAGCAGUAGUCCCACAACAUUUGCAUAGGAAUAGUUGCAGAAGAAGCAUGAUAUCAUCCAGAUUUUUAUUGCUAACAGGAAUUUAGUAAUUAACUGUACAUAAGCUUUACAGGUGUUAUUUGCAAUCGUACAUGUUUGCUUUUUUCAUUGAUUUGUUUCUCUCUAAUAAAUUGCAAAAAUGCUCUGUUUUCCGUUCACAAUACUGAGUUUCAGGAAUGCAAUUUGGACAAGCAUAUUAAGGCAGUUCAUGAGCAGAGUAGGCCCUUCGUCUGUGGAUUCUCUUGGUGUGUGAUUUUGCAGAGGCCGAUGAGCAUCCAGGUAGGUACAUGAGGAAGCCCAUCUGCGUCGAGAAUUUGAUGUGAAAGAGGGUAGCUGCUCCUGCUUACGAUGAUGCAACCGAGUAUCUGUGACGGCUUCUGUUAGGUCGAUGAAGGAAUUGGAACACGGAAAGGGAAACAUUGGGAGAACAUCGAAUUGCUUCCUGCAAAGUAUAAUUUUUUUGGUGGAUUUGGUUGAGUAGCUGAUGCACUGCCUAUGAGACCAACUUCUCGGAAAGCACAACUGAACCUUUUGCUUACCAUAAGGCCCUCCUGCCUGCUUUAGAUAACCAAUCUUAUGCAUGACGUGGUACUUUAUGGAAAAAGUAUGUGCUGUUGAAACCAAAUCAAAUCAAGCAGCAUCGAAAUACCUGUCAACACUUAUUUCAGUAAUGCAAAAAACCAACAACUAUUUUGGAACCAGUAAACAGUUAUACGAGAUAGUCAUACGUAAUAUCCAUUGCAGGCUUGCAGCAUUUACCAAAGUACGCCUAUUUGCAAGCAUUACAACUCUGUAAGUGGAGCAGCUCACCUCAGGGACCACCUUUGCAGCAUAGAAAACUGAAAUGGUUGUUGUGGCGUUCAUACAUCCUUCAGUUUUACAUAUCUGAAGGAGUUUAAGCGAAAAGGUCUUGUUUGUUUUGGUAGGUGGUGGGAAAUAAAAUAAUGGUAUGGGUAAAAGAAAUAAUGGUUUCUAAGCUUGAACUUGUUUGCUAUUAACUGUGGACAAUACCUUCUCUAGCCACCAGAACGUGCGUAGCGAGACAGAUUUUUAGCUGUAGUUGAACAACAGCUAAGUCACCAAAGGUCUACACAUUGGAGAUGCAGACAUGAGGAAGAGUGUUGCAGUUGGUGGCUAGACAUACGACUUGAUUGACCAAUCUGAAACUGCACAACCUUGAAGAUAGCACACACAAACAACCUCAGUGUUUGAGUUUGAGUGAAAUUGUGGAAUGUAAGGAAAAAAUGGAAUCAUCAUGAAUUCCCUCUAGCAGACUUAUAUGGAGCUAUGUGGCUUAAGGUCAGGUGUAACCGAGCUAUGUGCAUGUUUUGCACAGCUUCAGUAGUUGGAUAUCGUAAGAUGAGAUGAGCUCGUCCAUUGGCGAGAGAAAGAGUUCCAAAGCUUGGUAUGACUUUUUUCAUGGACUUGUUUCUCUGCAAUAAUUGCAAAACUUCUUUGUUUCUCGUUCUCAAUAAGUUUGAACUUAAGAAAUUCAAUUUGGGCAAGCAUACUAAGGCAGAGUUCAUGAGCAAAGUAGACCCUUCACAUGUGGAUUCUCUGGCUGUGGCAAGGAGUUUCCAUACAGGCGUGUAAGGGAUAAUCAUGAGAAAUCUAGUUUUCACAUGCUCGUCGGGGUAAACAGACAACCAAACCAUAUCACCUAGUUUACCUCAUCUACACAUGCCUUUCUAGCUAGGAAAUUCUUUUUGCACUAGGAUGCUCACAGCUUCCCUUCAAAUCUUUGCAGGGUGAUUUCUUGGAGGCUGAUGAGCAACUAAGACCUCAUCCAGGCAGGCACAAGAGGACGCCUAUUUCCGUCGACACUUCGAUGCGGAAGAGGGUAGCUGCUUCUGAUGAUGCGCCCGCUUACGAUGCAACUGGGCAUUUGAGAUGGCGUGUGUCGGGAUGAUUUGUGCUGAACUCGAAGGACUAACACAAGAUGAUAUGUUCUCUUCGACGACUGAAUAUGCUUCUGUAGUAUGGGAUAUCCACAAUGUUAUUAUGUAUGUGUAUGUAUAGAAAAUGCAAGAAAUAGGGUAGAACAGUAUGUACCUGCCGAGAUAAGAUAGCAAUUUCUGAUAGAGGCAAUGUAAAGCUUCAUUUGUAUUAUAAGUCAAUGAAGAUGGUAUUUUCACAGUCAUGCUGCCACAGGUCUAGUAUAUGUUUGAUGGUUGUAUCCUUAAGGCAUUACAAGUGUCAGUACUCACAAGCUGAAGGUAAAACUUUGUUCUUGGAGGCUACCCA
Aegilops tauschii subsp. strangulata is the source of this 5202-nucleotide non-coding RNA. The record is from RefSeq and is a predicted model, not a curated record. NCBI's taxonomy places the organism in Eukaryota, Viridiplantae, Streptophyta, Magnoliopsida, Poales, Poaceae.